RNAcentral lists this ribosomal RNA (804 nucleotides) under Chryseobacterium aquifrigidense. RNAcentral's name for it is "bacterial SSU rRNA". It matches the Rfam family "Bacterial small subunit ribosomal RNA", at positions 59 to 875 of the family's 1533-position model. The record is from RNAcentral. Lineage: Bacteria; Pseudomonadati; Bacteroidota; Flavobacteriia; Flavobacteriales; Weeksellaceae.
AAGCCGAGCGGUAGAGUUUCGGAUCUUGAGAGCGGCGUCGGGUGCGGAACACGUGUGCAACCUGCCUUUAUCUGGGGGAUAGCCUUUCGAAAGGAAGAUUAAUACCCCCAUAAUAUACUGGAUGGCAUCAUUCGGUAUUGAAAAACUCCCGGUGGAUAGAGAUGGGCACGCGCAAGAUUAGAUAGUUGGUGAGGUAACGGCUCACCAAGUCUACGAUCUUUAGGGGGCCUGAGAGGGUGAUCCCCCACACUGGUACUGAGGACACGGACCAGACUCCUACGGGAGGCAGCAGUGAGGAAUAUUGGACAAUGGGUGAGAGCCUGAUCCAGCCAUCCCGCGUGAAGGACGACGGCCCUAUGGGUUGUAAACUUCUUUUGUAUAGGGAUAAACCUAGAUACGUGUAUCUAGCUGAAGGUACUAUACGAAUAAGCACCGGCUAACUCCGUGCCAGCAGCCGCGGUAAUACGGAGGGUGCAAGCGUUAUCCGGAUUUAUUGGGUUUAAAGGGUCCGUAGGCGGAUCUGUAAGUCAGUGGUGAAAUCUCACAGCUUAACUGUGAAACUGCCAUUGAUACUGCAGGUCUUGAGUGUUGUUGAAGUAGCUGGAAUAAGUAGUGUAGCGGUGAAAUGCAUAGAUAUUACUUAGAACACCAAUUGCGAAGGCAGGUUACUAAGCAACAACUGACGCUGAUGGACGAAAGCGUGGGGAGCGAACAGGAUUAGAUACCCUGGUAGUCCACGCCGUAAAAGCUAACUCGUUUUUGGGGCGUAAGCUUCAGAGUAAGCGGAAAGGAUAAGUUCCCCCG